ACGAACGCUGGCGGCGUGCUUAACACAUGCAAGUCGCACGGAAAGGCCCUGCUUUUGUGGGGUGCUCGAGUGGCGAACGGGAGAGUAACACGUGAGUAACCUGCCCUUGACUUUGGGAUAACUUCAGGAAACUGGGGCUAAUACCGGAUAGGAGCUCCUGCUGCAUGGUGGGGGUUGGAAAGUUUCGGCGGUUGGGGAUGGACUCGCGGCUUAUCAGCUUGUUGGUGGGGUAGUGGCUUACCAAGGCUUUGACGGGUAGCCGGCCUGAGAGGGUGACCGGCCACAUUGGGACUGAGAUACGGCCCAGACUCCUACGGGAGGCAGCAGUGGGGAAUAUUGCACAAUGGGCGGAAGCCUGAUGCAGCAACGCCGCGUGCGGGAUGACGGCCUUCGGGUUGUAAACCGCUUUCGCCUGUGACGAAGCGUGAGUGACGGUAAUGGGUAAAGAAGCACCGGCUAACUACGUG
RNAcentral lists this ribosomal RNA (467 nucleotides) under uncultured bacterium. RNAcentral's name for it is "partial 16S ribosomal RNA". It matches the Rfam family "Bacterial small subunit ribosomal RNA", at positions 29 to 507 of the family's 1533-position model. The record is from RNAcentral.